Desmophyllum pertusum is the source of this 75-nucleotide non-coding RNA. The record is from the annotation of a GenBank genome assembly. NCBI's taxonomy places the organism in Eukaryota, Metazoa, Cnidaria, Anthozoa, Scleractinia, Caryophylliidae.
UCUCCUGUAGCUCAGCGAUAGAGCGUCCGACCGGUGCGCGGAAGCCUAUCAUAGGUUCGACUCCUGUUGGGAGAG